RNAcentral lists this transfer RNA (72 nucleotides) under Ictidomys tridecemlineatus (thirteen-lined ground squirrel). Its description in RNAcentral is "Spermophilus tridecemlineatus (thirteen-lined ground squirrel) tRNA". It matches the Rfam family "tRNA". Rfam says of the family: Transfer RNA (tRNA) molecules are approximately 80 nucleotides in length. Their secondary structure includes four short double-helical elements and three loops (D, anti-codon, and T loops). The record is from Rfam by way of RNAcentral. Lineage: Eukaryota; Metazoa; Chordata; Mammalia; Rodentia; Sciuridae.
UGGAUUGUAGCUCAGUGGUGGAGCACUUGCCUUGCAUGCAUGAGGCACUGGGUUCGAUCCUCAGCACCACAU